This 402-nucleotide ribosomal RNA is filed under the name uncultured bacterium. RNAcentral describes it as "partial 16S ribosomal RNA". It matches the Rfam family "Bacterial small subunit ribosomal RNA", at positions 338 to 755 of the family's 1533-position model. The record is from RNAcentral.
CCUACGGGAGGCUGCAGUGGGGAAUAGUGGGCAAUGGGCGCAAGCCUGACCCAGCAACGCCGCGUGAAGGAAGAAGGCUUUCGGGUGGUAAACUUCUUUUAAGGGGGACGAACAAAGGACGGUACCCCUGGAAUAAGCCACGGCUAACUACGGGCCAGCAGCCGCGGUAAUACGGAGGGGGCAAGCGUUAUCCGGAUUUAGUGGGGGGAAAGGGCGGGUAGGCGGGAGCGCAAGUCAGAUGUGAAAACUCAGGGCUCAACCCUGAGCCUGCAUUUGAAACUGUGUUUCUUGAGUGCUGGAGAGGCAAUCGGACUUCCGUGUGUCGCGGUGCACUUCGUCGCUAUCCGGAGGCACACCAGUGGCGAAGGCGGAUUGCUGGACUGUACCUGACGUUGCGGCUCG